GGAGUUGUAGCUCAGCGGUAGAGCGCUUGCCUAACAUGCAAAAGGCCCUGGUUCGAUCCUCAGCACCACCU
Molecule: transfer RNA, 71 nt
Filed under: Ictidomys tridecemlineatus (thirteen-lined ground squirrel)
Lineage: Eukaryota; Metazoa; Chordata; Mammalia; Rodentia; Sciuridae
Description: Spermophilus tridecemlineatus (thirteen-lined ground squirrel) tRNA
Rfam family: tRNA
About the family: Transfer RNA (tRNA) molecules are approximately 80 nucleotides in length.
Source: Rfam by way of RNAcentral